AACUUGUUAGGAUAACCAAUCCAUUGAUUUGUGGUGUCAAUAAUACUUAUAGUACAGGUUC
RNAcentral lists this transfer RNA (61 nucleotides) under Erpobdella sp. JP-2021. RNAcentral describes it as "tRNA-His". Lineage: Eukaryota; Metazoa; Annelida; Clitellata; Hirudinida; Erpobdellidae. The record is from RNAcentral.